This 2382-nucleotide long non-coding RNA is filed under the name Anolis carolinensis (green anole). RNAcentral describes it as "lncRNA (ENSACAG00000038809.1)". Lineage: Eukaryota; Metazoa; Chordata; Lepidosauria; Squamata; Anolidae. The record is from RNAcentral.
GCUCCCGCCGCUCCCAGGGUUUGAACCUGGGACCUUUCAGUCUGCAAGUUCAGCAUUUCAGUGCUUUAACACACUUCGCCACCAGGGCUCCUUAAUAGUUGUUUAGCACUCUCCAAAUAUCUACACUCUCCAAGAUGAAGCUCUAAGCUGCAGAAGAAAGGCCUGCAAAUUAUUAUUGAGAAACCUGAUGCAGCUGCAAAAGUUGGCCACAGCCCAAGAAAAAGGAGCAGGAUGGGAGGAGGAAGGGCUCAGAAACAAAGAAAGUUAACUUUCAUAAAGUCACCUUACAGGAAGCGUUCAGUGGUGCUGAGAGAGGACGUACAAACUUUUCUCCUUGGCUGCUGUAAGGGCAAACAGGAAAAGUAUAACUAAAGCAAGAAUGGUGAAAAGAAAACAGAUGAAUAAGAAGAAAGAAGUGAGAAGCAUAUUGUAGCUGUUAGCUUCCUGUAUCAGGUAUCAAGUGAGUAUCAGAAGUUUAAUAUUUCUGGUUUUUAAAAUGUAAUCUUUUGUUUAAAUUUGAUUAAUUAAAAAUUAUUUCCAAAAUAUUUUUCCUGUUUUUCAAAAGACUUCCUCUGUCUUCAUUAUCAAUUUCCAGUAGCAAACAUUGCACGGAUCUCUUUGACCAUGUGAUGGAAUGCAGUUAUUGAUGAACAACUCCAUUUUGUAUAUUUAAGGAUUUUAAAAACUUUAAUAAUUAUGUCAUUAUAUCAGGACUUUGAGCAUCCACGUUGUGCAAUACAUAUGUAGGAACUAUAGCCUAGUUAUUUGGGAUGAAUGUCCAUUACAGUAACUAAUACAUGUAUCUUAUGUCACACUAGUAACUUAGGCUGGAUCUACACUGCCAUAUAAUGCAGUUUCAGAAUGCGGAUUAACAGCAUUGAACUGUAUUAUAUGGCAGUGUAGACUCAUAUGCAGAUAACCUGCAUUCUGAAACUGAUCCAGAAGAGGUAAUACAGUAGAGUCUCACUUAUCCAAGCCUCGCUUAUCCAAGCUUCUGGAUUAUCCAAGCCAUUUUUGUAGUCAAUGUUUUCAAUAUAUCAUGAUAUUUUGGGGCUAAAUUUGUAAAUACAGUAAUUACAACAUAACAUUACUGCGUAUUGAACUACUUUUUCUGUCAAAUUUAUUAUAUAACAUGAUGUUUUGGUGCUUAAUUUAUAAAAUCAUAACCUAAUUUGAUAUUUAAUAGGCUUUUCCUUAAUCCCUCCUUAUUAUCCAACAUAUUCGCUUAUCCAACAUUCUGCCAGCCCGUUUAUGUUGGAUAAGUGAGACUCUACUGUACAUGUAUCUUAUGUCACACUAGUAACUUAGGCUGGAUCUACACUGCCAUAUAAUGCAGUUUCAGAAUGCAAAUUAACAGCAUUGAACUGUAUUACAUGGCAGUGUAGACUCAUAUGCAGAUAACCUGCAUUCUGAAACGGAUCCAGAAGAGGUAAUACCAUUAUUUUUGGAGUAUAGUCAUAACUUUUUAUUACUUUUAUAGAUACCUCACUAAAUGGUGCAGGAGGAAUAACUCAAAUGCCGUGUCUGAUGCUGCUGUUGGGUGGGUGCUGAGCUGACCAGAAGAUGGAUCAGUAGGGAGUAUAUUUUAUAUCACAGGCCAGUAGCUUUUAGCAUUCGGAUCAGGAAAAGCUGGUGCCCACUGGUGCUGGUGAGGCAGAAGGUGGAGUUGCUAAAGGCAAAGCCAACUACAGUACUUGUAGUUUGCUACCCAACCUCCUCUCUUGCAAGGUCUUACCUAUACCCAACAUAACCCUGCUAGGUUACUGUGGGUUUGUUUGUCAAUAUUCCACCUGCUUAAACAGAAGGACCAUACUAGGAUAUUAAUGCUAUGUAGUAAUUACUGUAUUUACGAAUUUAGCACCAAAAUAUCACAAUGCAUUGAAAACAUUGACUACAAAAAUGCGUUGGAUAAUCCAGAACAUUAGAUAAGUGAGACUCUACUGUACCACAUUUGAUCCAGAAAACUAUUCAGCUGCUUCCAUCUUCUCUUCCCUCUACCUUUUUCUAAUUUGGAAACUCUUGAGUAGAUAAAAAUUAGCACUUCACAGGGCAAUUAAACUUGCAGUUUUCUAUCAUGUUCUUAUAAAUGUAAGAUCUAAAUAUAGCUGAUGAAGAAAUUGGUUGUUUGAUACUAGCAGUGAUCGCACAAGAACCUCCCAUGUGAAAUCAUCUCUAUGAGCAGUGCAGUAUAAUAGUUGUCACUGGGUGCAUUUACACUGUAGAAUUAAUGCCAUUUGACAUCACUUUAACUGCCACAAAAACAGUCCUGAGAGUUUGCACACUUCCCACCUCGAUCUAGACUUUGUGUGGUAUCACCAUCCAAUUUUGGAGUGUCCCAUCACCCAGAACUAUGUGAAGAAACAACAAUUUGUUAUGUCUGCC